This 482-nucleotide ribosomal RNA is filed under the name uncultured bacterium. RNAcentral's name for it is "bacterial SSU rRNA". It matches the Rfam family "Bacterial small subunit ribosomal RNA", at positions 27 to 507 of the family's 1533-position model. The record is from RNAcentral.
GGACGAACGCUGGCGGCGUGCCUAACACAUGCAAGUCGAACGAAGCUCUGCGAUACAAGACUUCGGUCAAGUUGAACGGAUGACUUAGUGGCGGACGGGUGAGUAACGCGUGAGGAACCUGCCUUCAGAGGGGGACAACAGUUGGAAACGACUGCUAAUACCGCAUGACGCAUGACUGGGGCAUCCCGGACAUGCCAAAGAUUUAUCGCUGAAAGAUGGCCUCGCGUCUGAUUAGAUAGUUGGCGGGGUAACGGCCCACCAAGUCGACGAUCAGUAGCCGGACUGAGAGGUUGACCGGCCACAUUGGGACUGAGAUACGGCCCAGACUCCUACGGGAGGCAGCAGUGGGGAAUAUUGGGCAAUGGACGCAAGUCUGACCCAGCAACGCCGCGUGAAGGAAGAAGGCUUUCGGGUUGUAAACUUCUUUUAAGGGGGAAGAGCAGAAGACGGUACCCCUUGAAUAAGCCACGGCUAACUACGUG